This is a long non-coding RNA of Grammomys surdaster, 843 nucleotides long. RefSeq lists it as uncharacterized. The record is from RefSeq and is a predicted model, not a curated record. NCBI's taxonomy places the organism in Eukaryota, Metazoa, Chordata, Mammalia, Rodentia, Muridae. The transcript is spliced from 3 exons.
UCCAUUCUGGUCAUUUGUAUACUGAUUACUGGUUUGGGGAUCAUCUUUAUAAUUAGUCAUUUGUCCAGAGGAAGGCGAAGCCAAAGAAAUAGAGGAGUUACUGGCAAAAACAUCAAUAGAAAUCAGCAAGCAAGCCAAGCUCCAUCUAUACCCUUGGCAACGAUUUGAAGUUCUUUCCACAUGUCCUGACUCAAAGAAAUGGCUCGAACUGAACACAUGUGACUGAAGAUUUCUUUCAUUUAGCUCCCAAAUAAAGUGAUGUCAUUACCGUAGAAUCUCCAUGACAACUGGUCUGCAUCUCAGAGACUGAUUCUGACCUUUCAGGAUUUCUAAAGGACUCUGUGACCUUGCAGCAGUCUUUUGUGGCAAAUGGCAGCACUGAGGCUCAGAAGAGCUUUGAUAGACCACACCAAGCAAGGCGGCCAUUGAAUAAUCUCUCCAAACCUUAGCUCUCUAGCUACAGCAAAGAAGAGGUUACAGAAUAUGGGAUAAAGGGAAAUGACUUGUUUAUUUUAUCAGCCAGUAAAUAUCUGAAUAUUGUUGAAAAAGCACACCCCCCCCUCCGGUAUGACUGACUUCUCCUAGGCUAUCAUUGCUAGAAAGGUAUUUAUUGAAAUGUUCCUAAAAAGCAUAAUAUUCCAAUGCAUUUCUGAGUUGGUAUCAAAUGUUUUAUCCCAAAAUAGAAGCUCGACGAGUCUGUGGUUCUCAUAUUCUCUUGGUGAAAAGACUCUGGACCCCAAAGCACAUCCCUAAUAGGAAACUGUCACCAGUUAGUGGGUGCUGCUUUUAACCAAUGAGGAACCAAGGGGUGACAAGUGACAAAUGUUUUCCAAUCAAGAAGCA